GGAACAAAAAGAAAAUUCCCAGAAAAUAGACGCUACCCCUCCCUCCUCUCGUUUCUCCCCCGCGCGCGUGAUGAAAGUUCGGUACGCAUCUCGCGCAGAGACGCGCUAGACGAUGAAGAAACGCCUUUUUCUGCUCUAUACAGUCUCGCCAGCUGCGUACUCCAGCGAAAUCAUCCUUGCUCGCUUGGAGAUGAGGACACGUCGCAUUGCAAGGACAACCAUUCCAUCUCGACCGUCCUUCCCUCCUUUUCGUUUCCGGAAUGGGGCAGACUUGCGGAAAAAGGGUGUCGCUCCGUUAAGGGAAAGGAAUUAAAAAUUUGAAUUCGAAAUGGGCCUCAAAUCGUCCCUCCAGCCCUCUCCCUCGAAACCCUAGUUGCUCUUCCUAUUUAAACUCUGUUUUGCUUCAGAAUUUGGGGGUUAGCAAUUUUGGGGUUGGAAUUUUUUUGGAAGAAAGUUUUCACGGGGAGAGUUUGAGAAUUGAGUUUAAGACUAAUGGCCUUUCUAUUCGUCUGGUUUUUUUUUUUUUGGUAAGAAUUGAAAGAAGCACAGAAGGGAAGUUUUGAGGAUAAUUGAGAGUUUCUCACAGCGGUUCGAACAAGAAGAAACAAUUUCGUCGAGAGUCGGUGUGACGUUCUAGUUCAAACGUGCGAAGCGGAGGUGUGGUUUCUAGUUGGUUGAAGCAUCGCUGUUGUGCUCAUAUCGUCCCAGUGUUGCUGCCCCGGAAAAGGUAUCGUCCAUCUCUUUCCAACUUCCUUCAUCUACGUGCGUCGAUGCGCUGUUUCUUAGCUGUGCUUGUUAAUG
RNAcentral lists this long non-coding RNA (801 nucleotides) under Solanum lycopersicum (tomato). RNAcentral describes it as "partial TCONS_00171320". The record is from RNAcentral. Lineage: Eukaryota; Viridiplantae; Streptophyta; Magnoliopsida; Solanales; Solanaceae.